UCCCCGGGCUCAACCUGGGAACUGCAUUCGAAACUGGCAGGCUUGAGUCUUGUAGAGGGGGGUAGAAUUCCAGGUGUAGCGGUGAAAUGCGUAGAGAUCUGGAGGAAUACCGGUGGCGAAGGCGGCCCCCUGGACAAAGACUGACGCUCAGGUGCGAAAGCGUGGGGAGCAAACAGGAUUAGAUACCCUGGUAGUCCACGCCGUAAACGAUGUCUACUUGGAGGUUGUGCCCUUGAGGCGUGGCUUCCGGAGCUAACGCGUUAAGUAGACCGCCUGGGGAGUACGGCCGCAAGGUUAAAACUCAAAUGAAUUGACGGGGGCCCGCACAAGCGGUGGAGCAUGUGGUUUAAUUCGAUGCAACGCGAAGAACCUUACCUGGUCUUGACAUCCACAGAACUUUCCAGAGAUGGAUUGGUGCCUUCGGGAACUGUGAGACAGGUGCUGCAUGGCUGUCGUCAGCUCGUGUUGUGAAAUGUUGGGUUAAGUCCCGCAACGAGCGCAAC
Molecule: ribosomal RNA, 503 nt
Filed under: Salmonella enterica
Lineage: Bacteria; Pseudomonadati; Pseudomonadota; Gammaproteobacteria; Enterobacterales; Enterobacteriaceae
Also listed under: 2 other names
Description: bacterial SSU rRNA
Rfam family: Bacterial small subunit ribosomal RNA
Source: RNAcentral